AUGACUUCGAGGCCGACGAGCGCCGCGCCGGCAUCACCAUCUUCGUCCCCAUCGACGACGCCUUCGCCGGCCUCCCUCCCGGUGCUGCGAUUCUACGUGCUGCACUCCUACUACCGGCUCGGCUCCCUCGAGUCCAUCAAGAACCCCGUCCAGCCCACGUUCGCCAUCGAGUGCACCGUGGCCGGCUGCUUCGUGCCUCCAGUUCUAGGUGGAGCAAACAUAAAUGCCGUGGUCGAUGGCGACGGAGCCGUUGAAUCGUGUGAUGUUGAGCCUGAAGCAGCCGGGCUCUGCAAUCGUGACGCUGGACGCUGCAGAGGAGAGGACGUCAUAGCCGGAGUUCGAGUUCAAGACGCAGAGGAGAGGACGCCAUAG
This 372-nucleotide ribosomal RNA is filed under the name Triticum aestivum (bread wheat). RNAcentral describes it as "partial small subunit ribosomal RNA". Lineage: Eukaryota; Viridiplantae; Streptophyta; Magnoliopsida; Poales; Poaceae. The record is from RNAcentral.